RNAcentral lists this ribosomal RNA (1682 nucleotides) under Acrossocheilus paradoxus (Taiwan torrent carp). RNAcentral's name for it is "16S ribosomal RNA". The stretch from base 174 to 1562 matches the Rfam family "Bacterial large subunit ribosomal RNA". The record is from RNAcentral. Lineage: Eukaryota; Metazoa; Chordata; Actinopteri; Cypriniformes; Cyprinidae.
GCCAAACAGCUAGCUUAGGCCACCUAAUAAUUGAAUAAUAUCAAUAAACAAAGUGAACCUAACACAGAAACCUUAACCAUUCUUCUACCUUACAAAUGGGAGACAUAAAAGGUCCCACCGAAGCAAUAGAAAAUCUACCGGAAGGGAAAGCUGAAAGAGAAAUGAAACAACCCAUAUAAGCAUAAAAAAGCAAAGAUUAAACCCUGUACCAUUUGCAUCAUGAUUUAGCCCGUACACCCAAGCUAAGAGACCUUUACUUUGAAACCCCGUAACCACGUGAGCUAGCCCGAGGCCAGCUAUUAAGGGCCACCCGUCUCUGUGGCAAUAGAGUGGGAACAACUGCGGGUAGAAGUGACAGACCUACCGAUCCUGGUGAUAGCCAGUUGCCUCUGAUGAUGAAUAGAAGUUCAGCCUCAUGCCCCCCCAAAUCAACAACACAAACAAGACACUGAGAGAGAUAUGAGAGUUAGUUAAAGGGGGUACAGCCCCUUUAACAAAGGACACAACCUUUCCAGGAGGAUAAAGAUCAUAAUAUAAAAAACACGCCGUUUUAGUGGGCCUAAAAGCAGCCACCUAAACAGAAAGCGUUAAAGCUCAAACGGAAAGAAGUUUAUUAUCCCGAUAAAAAAUCUUACUCCCCUAACCACUACUAGGCCAACCCAUGCCCACAUGGAAGAGACCAUGCUAAAAUGAGUAACAAGAAGGCCUGCCCUUCUCCCGGCACAAGUGUAAGCCAAACCGGACCAACCAUUGGCAACUGACGAAGUCAACCCCAGAGAGCACUGCGGAGUACAUAAAAACCGAGAAAAAUCCACGACCUAUCCAUCCUUACCCCCACGGAGUGCCAUUAAGGGAAAGACUAUCAAGAAGAGGAAGGAACUCCUGCAAACACAAGCCUCGCCUGUUUACCAAAAACAUCGCCUCCUGCAACACAACCAAGUAUAGGAGGUCCAGCCUGCCCAGUGACUAUAAGUUUAACGGCCGCGGUAUCCUGACCGUGCAAAGGUAGCGCAAUCACUUGUCUUUUAAAUAGAGACCUGUAUGAAUGGCCAAACGAGGGCUUAACUGUCUCCCCCUUCAAGUCAGUGAAAUUGAUCUGCCCGUGCAGAAGCGGGUAUACUAAUACAAGACGAGAAGACCCUUUGGAGCUUAAGGUAUAAAACUCAGUCCACGUCAAGCAACUUAAUAAAAAACAAAAACUUUGUGGAACAUGAUAUUUUACCUUCGGUUGGGGCGACCACGGAGGAAAAAAAAGCCUCCAAGUGGAUUGGAAAAAUCCUCCUAAAUCUAAGAGAGACAUCUCUAAGCCACAGAACAUCUGACCAAACAUGAUCCGGCAACAAAGCCGAUCAACGAACCAAGUUACCCUAGGGAUAACAGCGCAAUCCUCUCCCAGAGUCCAUAUCGACGAGAGGGUUUACGACCUCGAUGUUGGAUCAGGACAUCCUAAUGGUGCAGCCGCUAUUAAGGGUUCGUUUGUUCAACGAUUAAAGUCCUACGAGAUCAGAGUUCAGACCGGAGAAUCCAGGUCAGUUUCGUAUCUAGUAACGCUACUUACGUCCUAGUACGAAAGGUUCGGAAAUGAGGGGCCGAUACCUCAAGCACCCCCCACCCAGAAUUUAAGCAAACAAAUAAAUAAAAUAAAGGGAGGGCCAAACCCCAACCAGCCAAAAUAAGGACAU